RNAcentral lists this ribosomal RNA (468 nucleotides) under uncultured bacterium. Its description in RNAcentral is "partial 16S ribosomal RNA". It matches the Rfam family "Bacterial small subunit ribosomal RNA", at positions 28 to 507 of the family's 1533-position model. The record is from RNAcentral.
GACGAACGCUGGCGGCGUGCUUAACACAUGCAAGUCGAACGGACAGGCCCUGCUUUUGUGGGGUGCUCGAGUGGCGAACGGGUGAGUAACACGUGAGUAACCUGCCCUUGACUUUGGGAUAACUUCAGGAAACUGGGGCUAAUACCGGGUAGGAGCUCCUGCUGCAUGGUGGGCGUUGGAAAGUUUCGGCGGUUGGGUAUGGACUCGCGGCUUCUGAGCUAGCUGGUGGGGUAGUGGCUUACCAAGGCUUUGACGGGUAGCCGGCCUGAGAGGGUGAGCGGCCACAAUGGGACUGAGAUACGGCCCAGACUCCUACGGGAGGCAGCAGUGGAGAAGAUUGCACAACGGGCGGAAGCCUGAUGCAGCGACGCCGCGUGCGGGAUGACGGCCUUCUGGUUGUAAACCGCUUUCGCCUGUGACGAAGCGUGAGUGACGGUAAUGGGUAAAGAAGCACCGGCUAACUACGUG